Molecule: ribosomal RNA, 253 nt
Filed under: uncultured bacterium
Lineage: Bacteria
Description: partial 16S ribosomal RNA
Rfam family: Bacterial small subunit ribosomal RNA
Source: RNAcentral
GACAGAGGGGGCAAGCGUUGCUCGGAAUUACUGGGCGUAAAGGGCGCGUAGGCGGGAUGGCAAGUCGGUCGUGAAAUCCUUCGGCUCAACCGAAGAACGUCGAUCGAUACUGCUGUUCUUGAGGGUUGCAGAGGAGACUGGAAUUCCCGGUGUAGCGGUGAAAUGCGUAGAUAUCAAGAGGAACACCUGAGGUGAAGACGGGUUGCUGGGCUGACACUGACGCUGAGGCGCGAAAGCUAGGGUAGCAAACGGG